GCGGCCAAGGUGUUGUGGUGGCACGCGUCCCUCCCAAGGAUGAGGCGGGGGUUCAAUUCCCCCUGGCCGCUCCA
This 74-nucleotide transfer RNA is filed under the name Pseudomonadota bacterium. RNAcentral's name for it is "tRNA-Gly". It matches the Rfam family "tRNA". Rfam says of the family: Transfer RNA (tRNA) molecules are approximately 80 nucleotides in length. Their secondary structure includes four short double-helical elements and three loops (D, anti-codon, and T loops). Further hydrogen bonds mediate the characteristic L-shaped molecular structure. tRNAs have two regions of fundamental functional importance: the anti-codon, which is responsible for specific mRNA codon recognition, and the 3' end, to which the tRNAs corresponding amino acid is attached (by aminoacyl-tRNA synthetases). tRNAs cope with the degeneracy of the genetic code in two manners: having more than one tRNA (with a specific anti-codon) for a particular amino acid; and 'wobble' base-pairing, i.e. permitting non-standard base-pairing at the 3rd anti-codon position. RNAcentral also lists the same sequence under 2 other names. Lineage: Bacteria; Pseudomonadati; Pseudomonadota. The record is from RNAcentral.